AACACAUCUUGAAGCCGGAAAAGCCUGAUUCUUCAUUUUUGACUCGCUUGGGGACAAAUUCAGAGAAGCUGAAGCCAGGUGAGAAAGUCUCCUGAGGCACAGAGAGGUUUGGCAACUCACCCAGGAUCACACAGCUAAUAAUUGAUGCACCGAAUUUGAGUUCAGCAGUCCAGUUCUACAGUUCUGGCUCCAAAAUAUCUUUUAAAUUCUAGUGUCUUCCUUAGGAAUUUUGGAGAGAAAAUUUCUGUGUAGGAUCUGGUCCCUCACAAGUGGAAUUCAGAACCUAACUAACACGGUGAUGGGUCUUUUCUCUUUUUCUUUAGAUAGGUGGAUACGCUUUCAUAGGGUUGGAUAUGGGUGUAACUAUGUAUAUGUGUGUUUUUUCAGUCAGUAAUGACUGAUGGUCAAGAAUGUCCGACCUCUACAUCUCUCUUUUUUUCAUUCAUUCAACUCUCAGAAUACGUCAGUUUAACCCAAUGUAAUGAACUCGCCCCUGUCGAUGGACCUCUAGAUUGUGUCUCUGUAUAAUAUACAUAAUGUUCACGUGAACAGCUUUGUGUAUCUCAAGAACAAAUCCCCUAAAGCUCAUACCUUAAAAAUAAACGAAACCAGACAGCCAUGUGAA
Hyaena hyaena (striped hyena) is the source of this 625-nucleotide long non-coding RNA. RefSeq lists it as uncharacterized. NCBI's taxonomy places the organism in Eukaryota, Metazoa, Chordata, Mammalia, Carnivora, Hyaenidae. The transcript is spliced from 2 exons. The record is from RefSeq and is a predicted model, not a curated record.